UUACAUCGCCACAUAUAUACUGUUGAAUUGUGAAGAACUUCAGCCAUACGAAAGACUUUUUGACGAGGAUGUUUUGGCAACAUAUCCUAAUCUAUGUGGGGAGGAACUUGAAGGAAUGAAGGAACAACAUUAUGCAUCUUGGCUUCGAGACUACAUUCAGUCAUGCAGUGAUAGAAUUCCGGCAUGGAUCAUAG
Tarenaya hassleriana is the source of this 194-nucleotide long non-coding RNA. RefSeq lists it as uncharacterized. The record is from RefSeq and is a predicted model, not a curated record. The transcript has 3 exons. Lineage: Eukaryota; Viridiplantae; Streptophyta; Magnoliopsida; Brassicales; Cleomaceae.